AUUGAACGCUGGCGGCAGGCCUAACACAUGCAAGUCGAGCGGAUGAAGGGAGCUUGCUCCUGGAUUCAGCGGCGGACGGGUGAGUAAUGCCUAGGAAUCUGCCUGGUAGUGGGGGAUAACGUCCGGAAACGGGCGCUAAUACCGCAUACGCCCUGAGGGAGAAAGUGGGGGAUCUUCGGACCUCACGCUAUCAGAUGAGCCUAGGUCGGAUUAGCUAGUUGGUGGGGUAAAGGCCUACCAAGGCGACGAUCCGUAACUGGUCUGAGAGGAUGAUCAGUCACACUGGAACUGAGACACGGUCCAGGCUCCUACGGGAGGCAGCAGUGGGGAAUAUUGGACAAUGGGCGAAAGCCUGAUCCAGCCAUGCCGCGUGUGUGAAGAAGGUCUUCGGAUUGUAAAGCACUUUAAGUUGGGAGGAAGGGCAGUAAGUUAAUACCUUGCUGUUUUGACGUUACCAACAGAAUAAGCACCGGCUAACUUCGUG
RNAcentral lists this ribosomal RNA (484 nucleotides) under uncultured bacterium. RNAcentral's name for it is "partial 16S ribosomal RNA". It matches the Rfam family "Bacterial small subunit ribosomal RNA", at positions 30 to 507 of the family's 1533-position model. The record is from RNAcentral.